Molecule: ribosomal RNA, 465 nt
Filed under: Ectatoderus sp. FGu
Lineage: Eukaryota; Metazoa; Arthropoda; Insecta; Orthoptera; Mogoplistidae
Description: partial 16S ribosomal RNA
Rfam family: Archaeal large subunit ribosomal RNA
Source: RNAcentral
YKUCUUGAUAUAGAUAGGAAAUUAAAUCUGCCCACUGAUGAUUUUAAGGGCCGCGGUAUAUUGACUGUGCAAAGGUAGCAUAAUCACUAGUCUUUUGAUUGGGGACUGGAAUGAAUGAUUAGACAAGAUAUAAACUGUCUUGAAUUAAAAGAUUGAAUUUAACAUUUUUGUUAAAAGGCAAAAUUGUAUUUAAGGGACGAGAAGACCCUAUAGAAUUUUAAUGAAUUUAAUUGUUAGGAGAAUUGGUUUAAUAAUUAAAGAUAAUUAAAUUAUAUUGGUUGGGGUGACAAAUGAAUAAGAGGAACUUCAUAUAAAUUGAAUUGAUUGGGAAGGGUAAUAGAUUUUAUUAUAGGAAUUAUAAGAUAAAAUUACCUUAGGGAUAACAGCGUAAUUUCAUUUGAGAGUUCAAAUCGAUAAUGAAGAUUGCGACCUCGAUGUUGAAUUAAGAAUAUAAUGGAUGUAGAA